AAAAUCUGUAAUUGCUUACAUGUUUUAUCUCUCUGGUUCCAUGAUGGCUUCCUUAAAAAUUUUUGAAGAUUCUCCUUCUCUAGAUCACUCAUAUAGACUACACAAAAUCCAAGCAUUUCUGCUGGUUGUUUCAUCAAAAUACUCAGUUGUAUUGGAUUUCAAACUUUGCAUCAUCUCAGGCACAAAAUUUUAAUUUGAUUAUUUUUAUCUCAAGUCAGUGUUCUGUUCAAUCUCAUUAUGAAUUGUUCCAACUCGGCAUUUUCUCAAUUUUCCGAAUUUGUAUGUUCAAAUUUUGGAUUCUGCUCCCUCCCCUCUUCAAUUCACUCUUUCAACUGAUAAACUAAUCUGCUUUAUAAUUACAUCUUGAAACUGAAAUUUGAUCUCGUGUUCCAUUUAUCUUUCAUGUUCUAUCUUGAUCAAACCAAUUUUGCUUGGAUAUUGUGAAAUUGUAAUUUUUUUCACCAUAGUUGUUACUGUGCUUUGGUUAUUGAACAAAUGAUUUCCAAUCUAUUUUAUGAAUUCGAAAAACAACACGGAAAUAUGUUUCAUCCUCUCAAUUACCAGUGGAUGAAUUUAGAAAGUUCUUCAAGCGGUGAGUCGUCAAAACCGUUUGAAAUGUUAAUGCGCCAAUCAACCGCAAUAAAAUAGGGAUAAAUGUACUGAGGAUGAUUCCUAGGAAAUCCGGUACGGAAUAUGUGAAUGGAAACAGUUUAGGAGGGACAGAUUUAGAAAGAAGAAGCGUGUCUAAUGAAGGUGAGUUGUCAAUUGGGACUAAAGUUUGUUGGAAUAAUUAUCUGUCUUAGAAAAAAACUCAAUCUAAAAGUUGUGGCAAAGAAGAAAAGUAACUGAAAACAAAUCCAAUUGAUAAGAUCACGAAGAGACUCCUAACAAGUUUGGUUCUGGGAUCCCAUGAAAAUUGAAAUCUGUAAAUUACACACGGAAUAGUUUAACCGACAGUACAGAGCAGCUGAUUCAGUUUUAACCUGUACCACACUCAAGAAUCAGUAUUUAGA
Leptinotarsa decemlineata (Colorado potato beetle) is the source of this 1013-nucleotide long non-coding RNA. The record is from RefSeq and is a predicted model, not a curated record. Lineage: Eukaryota; Metazoa; Arthropoda; Insecta; Coleoptera; Chrysomelidae.